Molecule: ribosomal RNA, 253 nt
Filed under: uncultured bacterium
Lineage: Bacteria
Description: partial 16S ribosomal RNA
Rfam family: Bacterial small subunit ribosomal RNA
Source: RNAcentral
UACGUAGGGGGCAAGCGUUGUCCGGAAUUAUUGGGCGUAAAGAGCGUGUAGGCGGCCAGAUAAGUCCGCUGUGAAAACUCGAGGCUCAACUUCGAGAUGUCGGUGGAAACUUUCUGGCUAGAGUCCGGAAGAGGAGAGUGGAAUUCCUGGUGUAGCGGUGAAAUGCGCAGAUACCAGGAAGAACACCCGUGGCGAAGGCGGCUCUCUGGGACGGUACUGACGCUGAGACGCGAAAGCGUGGGGAGCGAACAGG